CGUAGCGAAAGUUACGCUAAUACCGCAUACUAUCUACGGAUGAAAGCGGGGGAUCGCAAGACCUCGCGCGAUUGGAGCGGCCGAUGUCAGAUUAGGUAGUUGGUGGGGUAAAAGCCCACCAAGGCGACGAUCUGUAGCUGGUCUGAGAGGACGACCAGCCACACUGGAACUGAGACACGGUCCAGACUCCUACGGGAGGCAGCAGUGGGGAAUUUUGGACAAUGGGCGCAAGCCUGAUCCAGCAAUGCCGCGUGCAGGAUGAAGGCCUUCGGGUUGUAAACUGCUUUUGUACGGAACGAAAAGGCUCUGGUUAAUACCUGGGGCUCAUGACGGUACCGUAAGAAUAAGCACCGGCUAACUACGUGCCAGCAGCCGCGGUAAUACGUAGGGUGCAAGCGUUAAUCGGAAUUACUGGGCGUAAAGCGUGCGCAGGCGGUUAUAUAAGACAGAUGUGAAAUCCCCGGGCUCAACCUGGGAACUGCAUAUGUGACUGUAUAGCUAGAGUGCGGCAGAGGGGGAUGGAAUUCCGCGUGUAGCAGUGAAAUGCGUAGAUAUGCGGAGGAACACCGAUGGCGAAGGCAAUCCCCUGGACCUGUACUGACGCUCAUGCACGAAAGCGUGGGGAGCAAACAGGAUUAGAUACCCUGGUAGUCCACGCCCUAAACGAUGUCAACUGGUUGUUGGGUCUUCACUGACUCAGUAACGAAG
RNAcentral lists this ribosomal RNA (708 nucleotides) under uncultured Limnohabitans sp. RNAcentral's name for it is "bacterial SSU rRNA". It matches the Rfam family "Bacterial small subunit ribosomal RNA", at positions 147 to 851 of the family's 1533-position model. The record is from RNAcentral. Lineage: Bacteria; Pseudomonadati; Pseudomonadota; Betaproteobacteria; Burkholderiales; Comamonadaceae.